This 396-nucleotide ribosomal RNA is filed under the name uncultured bacterium. Its description in RNAcentral is "bacterial SSU rRNA". It matches the Rfam family "Bacterial small subunit ribosomal RNA", at positions 356 to 769 of the family's 1533-position model. The record is from RNAcentral.
UGGGAAUAUUGCACAAUGGGCGCAAGCCUGAUGCAGCAAUGCCGCGUGAGUGAAGACGGCCUUAGGGUUGUAAAACUCUUUCGCUAGGGAAGAUAAUGACGGUACCUAGUAAAGAAGUCCCGGCUAACUCCGUGCCAGCAGCCGCGGUAAUACGGAGGGGACUAGCGUUGUUCGGAAUUACUGGGCGUAAAGAGUUCGUAGGCGGACUAGCAAGUUAGAGGUGAAAUCCCAGGGCUCAACCUUGGAACUGCCUUUAAAACUGCUAGUCUAGAGACCGGAAGAGGUUAGGGGAAUACCUAGUGUAGAGGUGAAAUUCGUAGAUAUUAGGUGGAACACCAGUGGCGAAGGCGCCUAACUGGUCCGGUACUGACGCUGAGGAACGAAAGCGUGGGGAGC